This 451-nucleotide ribosomal RNA is filed under the name uncultured bacterium. RNAcentral describes it as "bacterial SSU rRNA". It matches the Rfam family "Bacterial small subunit ribosomal RNA", at positions 328 to 794 of the family's 1533-position model. The record is from RNAcentral.
AAUCCAGACUCCUACGGGAGGCAGCAGUGGGGGAUAUUGCACAAUGGGCGCAAGCCUGAUGCAGCGACGCCGCGUGUGGGAAGACGGUCCUCUGGAUUGUAAACCACUGUCCCCAGGGACGAAGAUGACGGUACCUGAAGAAGAAGCCCCGGCUAACUACGUGCCAGCAGCCGCGGUAAUACGUAGGGGGCAAGCGUUAUCCGGAUUUACUGGGUGUAAAGGGGGCGCAGACGGCGAUGCAAGCCAGGAGUGAAAGCCCGGGGCCCAACCCCGGGACUGCUCUUGGAACUGCGUGGCUGGAGUGCAGGAGGGGCAGGCGGAAUUCCUGGUGUAGCGGCGAAAUGCGUAGAUAUCAGGAGGAACACCGGUGGCGAAGGCGGCCUGCUGGACUGCAACUGACGUUGAGGCCCGAAAGCGUGGGGAGCAAACAGGAUUAGAUACCCUCGUACAA